UGGGAAAUAUUGGACAAUGGGCGCAAGCCUGAUCCAGCCAUGCCGCGUGAGUGAUGAAGGCCCUAGGGUUGUAAAGCUCUUUCACCGGUGAAGAUAAUGACGGUAACCGGAGAAGAAGCCCCGGCUAACUUCGUGCCAGCAGCCGCGGUAAUACGAAGGGGGCUAGCGUUGUUCGGAUUUACUGGGCGUAAAGCGCACGUAGGCGGACUUUUAAGUCAGGGGUGAAAUCCCGGGGCUCAACCCCGGAACUGCCUUUGAUACUGGAAGUCUUGAGUAUGGUAGAGGUGAGUGGAAUUCCGAGUGUAGAGGUGAAAUUCGUAGAUAUUCGGAGGAACACCAGUGGCGAAGGCGGCUCACUGGACCAUUACUGACGCUGAGGUGCGAAAGCGUGGGGAGCAAACAGG
This 404-nucleotide ribosomal RNA is filed under the name Brucella melitensis. RNAcentral's name for it is "partial 16S ribosomal RNA". It matches the Rfam family "Bacterial small subunit ribosomal RNA", at positions 355 to 776 of the family's 1533-position model. Lineage: Bacteria; Pseudomonadati; Pseudomonadota; Alphaproteobacteria; Hyphomicrobiales; Brucellaceae. The record is from RNAcentral. RNAcentral also lists the same sequence under 2 other names.